This 468-nucleotide ribosomal RNA is filed under the name uncultured bacterium. RNAcentral's name for it is "partial 16S ribosomal RNA". It matches the Rfam family "Bacterial small subunit ribosomal RNA", at positions 28 to 507 of the family's 1533-position model. The record is from RNAcentral.
GACGAACGCUGGCGGCGUGCUUAACACAUGCAAGUCGAACGGACAGGCCCUGCUUUUGUGGGGUGCUCGAGUGGCGAACGGGUGACUAACACGUGAGUUACCUGCCCUUGACUUUGGGAUAACUUCAGGAAACUGGGGCUAAUCCCGGAUAGGAGCUCCUGCUGCAUGGUGGGGGUUGGACAGUUUCGGCGGUUGGGGAUGGACUUGCGGCUUAUCAGCUUGUUGGUGGGGUAGUGGCUUACCAAGGCUUUGCCGGGUAGCCGGCCUGAGAGGGUGACCGGCCACAUUGGGACUGAGAUACGGCCCAGACUCCUACGGGAGGCAGCGGUGGGGAAUAGUGCACAAUGGGCGGAAGCCUGAUGCAGCAACGCCGCGUGCGGGAUGACGGCCUUCGGGUUGUAAACCGCUUUCGCCUGUGACGAAGCGUGAGUGACGGUAAUGGGUAAAGAAGCACCGGCUAACUACGUG